GUCCACGCCGUAAACGAUGAUCACUAGACGUUAGUCCGGCUUGCCGGAUUAGUGUCAAAGCUAACGCGUUAAGUGAUUCGCCUGGGGAUUACGGUCGCAAGACUAAAACUUAAAGAAAUUGACGGGGUCCGCACAAGCGGUGGAACAUGUGGUUUAAUUCGAUACUACGCGAGGAACCUUACCUGGGUUUGACAUGCACAUGACUGUCGUAGAAAUACGAUUUUUCAGGCUUCGGUCUGGACAUGUGCACAGGUGUUGCAUGGCUGUCGU
RNAcentral lists this ribosomal RNA (270 nucleotides) under uncultured bacterium. RNAcentral describes it as "partial 16S ribosomal RNA". It matches the Rfam family "Bacterial small subunit ribosomal RNA", at positions 793 to 1055 of the family's 1533-position model. The record is from RNAcentral.